CCUACGGGAGGCAGCAGUGAGGAAUAUUGGUCAAUGGCCGUAAGGCUGAACCAGCCAAGUCGCGUGAAGGAAGAAGGAUCUAUGGUUUGUAAACUUCUUUUAUAGGGGAAUAAAGGUAUCCACGUGUGGAUAUUUGCAUGUACCCUAUGAAUAAGCAUCGGCUAACUCCGUGCCAGCAGCCGCGGUAAUACGGAGGAUGCGAGCGUUAUCCGGAUUUAUUGGGUUUAAAGGGUGCGUAGGUUGUUUUUUAAGUCAGCGGUGAAAGUUUGUGGCUCAACCAUAAAAUUGCCGUUGAAACUGGAAGACGUGAGUGUGUGUGAGGUAGGCGGAAUGCGUGGUGUAGCGGUGAAAUGCAUAGAUAUCACGCAGAACUCCGAUUGCGAAGGCAGCUUACUAAGCCAUAACUGACACUGAAGCACGAAAGCGUGGGGAUCAAACAGGAUUAGAUACCCGAGUAGUC
Molecule: ribosomal RNA, 460 nt
Filed under: uncultured bacterium
Lineage: Bacteria
Description: partial 16S ribosomal RNA
Rfam family: Bacterial small subunit ribosomal RNA
Source: RNAcentral